This 478-nucleotide ribosomal RNA is filed under the name uncultured bacterium. RNAcentral's name for it is "bacterial SSU rRNA". It matches the Rfam family "Bacterial small subunit ribosomal RNA", at positions 32 to 521 of the family's 1533-position model. The record is from RNAcentral.
AAUCAACGCUGGCGGCGUGCCUCAGACAUGCAAGUCGAACGAUUAAAGCUCCCUUCGGGGAGUGUAUAGAGUAGCGCACGGGUGAGUAACACGUAAGUAAUCUACCCUCGAGUGGGGAAUAACGUCCGGAAACGGACGCUAAUACCGCAUAAUGCAGCGGCACCGCAAGGUGACAGUUGUUAAAGAUUUAUCGCUUGAGGAGGAGCUUGCGGCAGAUUAGCUAGUUGGUAAGGUAAUGGCUUACCAAGGCUACGAUCUGUAACCGGUCUAAGAGGACGGUCGGUCACACUGACACUGAAUAACGGGUCAGACUCCUACGGGAGGCAGCAGUCGGGAAUUUUGGGCAAUGGGCGAAAGCCUGACCCAGCAACGCCGCGUGAAGGAUGAAGUAUUUCGGUAUGUAAACUUCGAAAGAAUGGGAAGAAUCAAUGACGUACCAUUUAUAAGGUCCGGCUAACUACGUGCCAGCAGCCGCGGU